UAUUCAAAUGAUGAUACACCAUUUUUAUAUUUUCUGGUACCUGUAAGUCUCCUCUUCUGUUGCAAGGGGUUUCAGUACUGACAUAUUUCAUAGCUUGAUUUAGAAACUCCUGCGGGAGUGACAAUGAUCUCACUGGACUUCUGAUU
This 146-nucleotide small nucleolar RNA is filed under the name Mollisia scopiformis. RNAcentral's name for it is "Phialocephala scopiformis A. fumigatus snoRNA Afu_264". It matches the Rfam family "A. fumigatus snoRNA Afu_264". Lineage: Eukaryota; Fungi; Ascomycota; Leotiomycetes; Helotiales; Mollisiaceae. The record is from Rfam by way of RNAcentral.